GACGAACGCUGGCGGCGUGCUUAACACAUGCAAGUCGAACGGUGAACCUCUUCGGAGGGGAUCAGUGGCGAACGGGUGAGUAACACGUGGGCAACCUGCCCCCGGCUCUGGGAUAACUCCAAGAAAUUGGGGCUAAUACCGGAUGUUCACCGCUUCCCGCAUGGGUGGUGGUGGAAAGGGUUUCCGGCUGGGGAUGGGCCCGCGGCCUAUCAGCUUGUUGGUGGGGUAGUGGCCUACCAAGGCGACGACGGGUAGCCGGCCUGAGAGGGUGACCGGCCACACUGGGACUGAGACACGGCCCAGACUCCUACGGGAGGCAGCAGUGGGGAAUAUUGCGCAAUGGGCGGAAGCCUGACGCAGCGACGCCGCGUGGGGGAUGACGGCCUUCGGGUUGUAAACCUCUUUCAGCAGGGACGAAGCGCAAGUGACGGUACCUGCAGAAGAAGCACCAGCCAACUACGUG
This 463-nucleotide ribosomal RNA is filed under the name uncultured bacterium. Its description in RNAcentral is "partial 16S ribosomal RNA". It matches the Rfam family "Bacterial small subunit ribosomal RNA", at positions 28 to 507 of the family's 1533-position model. The record is from RNAcentral.